AUGCCCCCCUCCCGCCUGCAGUCCGCAAGGGCUGGCCUCCAAGCACCGAGAUGGACAGACAGCUCCACAGCCCGCAGGGCGGCAAGGGUCGGUGCUCAGCCUCCCUCCUGCUCGGGGGUGAGCGAUCUCGCCGCCAGCAGUGACCUUAGGGCUCGCUCUUGGCGAGGCUGUCAGCUCUUCGUACCCUGCAGGUCCGGGUCACGGUGUCGUCUCUGCCGGCUGUGGCCCAGCUCCCCAGGUAGGGGUCUCUCUGUGGCCUCAGCGGGCCUGGGGGCCAGAUCGAAGGCUCUCAGGCCAUGUCCACCUGCGUUUCUAGAGCCUGGCCUGUGGGCUUCACCACUCCCACCCCCGCAUCGUCCACCGGUUCUCACGAGCCGCCCCGACUGGCUCCCUGCAGGCACCCCGGCUGACCCGGGAGGUGAGGGCUGCCCUGCACGGGGCCCUUCCGUGACUCUGAACAAGGCCAGCUGCCUGUGGUGGCCAGGGACGGUCAGGGAAGGUACCGGCUGGGGACCAGUCACACUCCUGGCCUGUGGCCUCCUCUGGCCGAUUCUCCGGAAGCUUCUCUCAAUGGCCAUCUUGGUGGCUAGGUGCCAGGACAGGGAGCUGCCACUCAGGGGCAAGGACGAGGGGACACUUGCUUGGGAGGCUGUGCCUACUGGUGGAGGCCGUGGGCCGUCCUCAGGAGGCGCUGUGAUGCUGUGUCCUCCGUCUCGGGCUGAGUCAGACACGUGGCCGGAGGCGGGCUGCCAAGCCCCGCUGGUUACCCAGACAAAAGAGCCGCAGGCCUCACAGGGUCCCCCUGGGGGGCUCCCCUCCAGGCCCUGCCUUCCCCGCCAUAGGCAGCGUCUCCCUGUGGCUGCCUCUCCCCCGUGGGGUCCUCAGGGCUCCCAGUUCAGCUGUAGGAACGCCCGCCCCUGGUUCUUUGGGGACCAAUGCCCACGCCCCUCAGUGCCCUGGUGGCAGCUGUGGUUGGGGCCAGGCCCCUGGGGGUCUGGGGCUAAGUGA
This 1008-nucleotide long non-coding RNA is filed under the name Capra hircus (goat). RNAcentral's name for it is "lncRNA (ENSCHIG00010027878.1)". The record is from RNAcentral. Lineage: Eukaryota; Metazoa; Chordata; Mammalia; Artiodactyla; Bovidae.